AGCUCCAAUAGCGUAUAUUAAAGUUGCUGCAGUUAAAAAGCUCGUAGUUGGAUCUCGGGGUACCUGGUCUAGCCGGUAUAGCUCACGCUAAAACUGGUCUGACCCCCCAACGUGAGGUAUUCGUCUCCGGGUGCACUUCAUUGGGUGCUCGUGAGGGGCCUCGUAGUUACUGUGAAAAAAUUAGAGUGUUCAAAGCAGGCUCAUAUGUUCGGAUAGUCGUGCAUGGAAUAACUGAAUAGGUUACUGGGCCUUUUAAGUUGGUUUGGGGGCUGGGUAAAUGAUUAAGAGGGGCAGGCGGGGGCAUUGGUAUGGCGGGGUUAGAGGUGAAAUUCUUGGAUCCUCGCCAGACCAACAAAAGCGAAAGCAUUUGCCAAGAAUGUCUUCA
RNAcentral lists this ribosomal RNA (385 nucleotides) under marine Metazoa environmental sample. RNAcentral's name for it is "SSU rRNA". It matches the Rfam family "Eukaryotic small subunit ribosomal RNA", at positions 587 to 972 of the family's 1831-position model. The record is from RNAcentral. Lineage: Eukaryota; Metazoa.